GGCGUGAUAGCUCAGUUGGUAGAGGAUUGAAAUGNGUCCCCAGUUCGAUCCUGGGUCUCGCCACCA
RNAcentral lists this transfer RNA (66 nucleotides) under Acinetobacter baumannii. RNAcentral describes it as "tRNA-OTHER". The record is from RNAcentral. Lineage: Bacteria; Pseudomonadati; Pseudomonadota; Gammaproteobacteria; Moraxellales; Moraxellaceae.